GGGUGAGUAACACGUGGGUGACCUGCCUCUAGCUCUGGGAUAAGCCUGGGAAACUGGGUCUAAUACCGGAUAUGACUCCACGGCGCAUGUUGUGGGGUGGAAAGCCUUGUGUGGCUAGAGAUGGGCCCGCGGCCUAUCAGCUUGUUGGUGGGGUGAUGGCCUACCAAGGCGACGACGGGUAGCCGGCCUGAGAGGGCGACCGGCCACACUGGGACUGAGACACGGCCCAG
This 230-nucleotide ribosomal RNA is filed under the name uncultured bacterium. Its description in RNAcentral is "partial 16S ribosomal RNA". It matches the Rfam family "Bacterial small subunit ribosomal RNA", at positions 104 to 334 of the family's 1533-position model. The record is from RNAcentral.